CCUACGGGUGGCUGCAGUGGGGAAUAUUGGACAAUGGGGGCAACCCUGAUCCAGCCAUGCCGCGUGUGUGAAGAGGGCCCUCGGGUUGUAAAGCACUUUCAGUGAGGAAGAACGCCUGGUGGUUAAUACCCAUCAGGAAAGACAUCACUCACAGAAGAAGCACCGGCUAACUCCGUGCCAGCAGCCGCGGUAAUACGGAGGGUGCGAGCGUUAAUCGGAAUUACUGGGCGUAAAGCGCGCGUAGGUGGCUUGAUAAGCCGGUUGUGAAAGCCCCGGGCUCAACCUGGGAACGGCAUCCGGAACUGUCAAGCUAGAGUGCAGGAGAGGAAGGUAGAAUUCCCGGUGUAGCGGUGAAAUGCGUAGAGAUCGGGAGGAAUACCAGUGGCGAAGGCGGCCUUCUGGACUGACACUGACACUGAGGUGCGAAAGCGUGGGUAGCAAACAGGAUUAGAUACCCUUGUAGUC
Molecule: ribosomal RNA, 465 nt
Filed under: Vreelandella stevensii
Lineage: Bacteria; Pseudomonadati; Pseudomonadota; Gammaproteobacteria; Oceanospirillales; Halomonadaceae
Description: partial 16S ribosomal RNA
Rfam family: Bacterial small subunit ribosomal RNA
Source: RNAcentral